CACUUCACAGAAUUCACGGUAUCCAAAAUUGGUCCACUUGAGUUCUUCUUCAAAACAGCAAUGACUUUUGAGGAUUUAUUGUGAUCUGUGUUCUCCGAGGUACCUGAUGAGAAUUUUACCUGUAAAUCGGUGUUUGUUCAACUCGUUGGAACUGCUCUGUAAAGUGGUUGAGGUUGCUGCAUUGGGACUGCUAUUUAUGAGGAUUUUAUCCUUCAGCUACAAUACCCAUCCUUCUCUUUCUAAUCUGUAUUCUUUAAGGU
Long non-coding RNA from Papaver somniferum (opium poppy), 260 nucleotides. RefSeq lists it as uncharacterized. The record is from RefSeq and is a predicted model, not a curated record. The transcript has 3 exons. NCBI's taxonomy places the organism in Eukaryota, Viridiplantae, Streptophyta, Magnoliopsida, Ranunculales, Papaveraceae.